CACUGCCCGGUAGCUAAAUGCGGAAAAGAUAAGUGCUGAAAGCAUCUAAGCACGAAACUUGCCCCGAGAUGAGUUCUCCCUGAGACUAUAAGUCUCCUGAAGGAACGUUGAAGACGACGACGUUGAUAGGUCGGGUGUGUAAGCGUAGCGAUACGUUGAGCUAACCGGUACUAAUGAACCGUGAGGCUUAACCUUACAACGCCGAAG
This 207-nucleotide ribosomal RNA is filed under the name Salmonella enterica subsp. enterica serovar Uganda. RNAcentral describes it as "partial 23S ribosomal RNA". It matches the Rfam family "Bacterial large subunit ribosomal RNA", at positions 2736 to 2925 of the family's 2925-position model. The record is from RNAcentral. Lineage: Bacteria; Pseudomonadati; Pseudomonadota; Gammaproteobacteria; Enterobacterales; Enterobacteriaceae.